Molecule: ribosomal RNA, 460 nt
Filed under: uncultured bacterium
Lineage: Bacteria
Description: partial 16S ribosomal RNA
Rfam family: Bacterial small subunit ribosomal RNA
Source: RNAcentral
CCUACGGGGGGCAGCAGUGAGGAAUAUUGGUCAAUGGACGAGAGUCUGAACCAGCCAAGUAGCGUGAAGGAUGACUGCCCUCUGGGUUGUAAACUUCUUUUAUAUGGGAAUAAAAUGUUCCACGUGUGGGAUUUUGUAUGUACCAUAUGAAUAAGGAUCGGCUAACUCCGUGCCAGCAGCCGCGGUAAUACGGAGGAUCCGGGCGUUAUCCGGAUUUAUUGGGUUUAAAGGGAGCGUAGGUGGAUUGUUAAGUCAGUUGUGAAAGUUUGCGGCUCAACCGUAAAAUUGCAGUUGAAACGGGCAGUCUUGAGUACAGUAGAGGUGGGCGGAAUUCGUGGUGUAGCGGUGAAAUGCUUAGAUAUCACGAAGAACUCCGAUUGCGAAGGCAGUUCACUGGACUGCAACUGACACUGAGGCUCGAAAGUGUGGGUAUCAAACAGGAUUAGAUACCCCAGUAGUC